AAGUCGAACGAGUUCUGAUUAUUGAAAGGUGCUUGCAUCUUGAUUUAAUUUUGAACGAGUGGCGGACGGGUGAGUAACACGUGGGUAACCUGCCCUUAAGUGGGGGAUAACAUUUGGAAACAGAUGCUAAUACCGCAUAAAUCCAAGAACCGCAUGGUUCUUGGCUGAAAGAUGGCGUAAGCUAUCGCUUUUGGAUGGACCCGCGGCGUAUUAGCUAGUUGGUGAGGUAACGGCUCACCAAGGCAAUGAUACGUAGCCGAACUGAGAGGUUGAUCGGCCACAUUGGGACUGAGACACGGCCCAAACUCCUACGGGAGGCAGCAGUAGGGAAUCUUCCACAAUGGACGCAAGUCUGAUGGAGCAACGCCGCGUGAGUGAAGAAGGCUUUCGGGUCGUAAAACUCUGUUGUUGGAGAAGAAUGGUCGGCAGAGUAACUGUUGUCGGCGUGACGGUAUCCAACCAGAAAGCCACGGCUAACUACGUGCCAGCAGCCGCGGUAAUACGUAGGUGGCAAGCGUUAUCCGGAUUUAUUGGGCGUAAAGCGAGCGCAGGCGGUUUUUUAAGUCUGAUGUGAAAGCCCUCGGCUUAACCGAGGAAGUGCAUCGGAAACUGGGAAACUUGAGUGCAGAAGAGGACAGUGGAACUCCAUGUGUAGCGGUGAAAUGCGUAGAUAUAUGGAAGAACACCAGUGGCGAAGGCGGCUGUCUGGUCUGUAACUGACGCUGAGGCUCGAAAGCAUGGGUAGCGAACAGGAUUAGAUACCCUGGUACUCCAUGCCGUAAACGAUGAAUGCUAGGUGUUGGAGGGUUUCCGCCCUUCAGUGCCGCAGCUAACGCAUUAAGCAUUCCGCCUGGGGAGUACGACCGCAAGGUUGAAACUCAAAGGAAUUGACGGGGGCCCGCACAAGCGGUGGAGCAUGUGGUUUAAUUCGAAGCAACGCGAAGAACCUUACCAGGUCUUGACAUCUUUUGAUCACCUGAGAGAUCAGGUUUCCCCUUCGGGGGCAAAAUGACAGGUGGUGCAUGGUUGUCGUCAGCUCGUGUCGUGAGAUGUUGGGUUAAGUCCCGCAACGAGCGCAACCCUUAUGACUAGUUGCCAGCAUUUAGUUGGGCACUCUAGUAAGACUGCCGGUGACAAACCGGAGGAAGGUGGGGAUGACGUCAAAUCAUCAUGCCCCUUAUGACCUGGGCUACACACGUGCUACAAUGGAUGGUACAACGAGUUGCGAGACCGCGAGGUCAAGCUAAUCUCUUAAAGCCAUUCUCAGUUCGGACUGUAGGCUGCAACUCGCCUACACGAAGUCGGAAUCGCUAGUAAUCGCGGAUCAGCACGCCGCGGUGAAUACGUUCCCGGGCCUUGUACACACCGCCCGUCACACCAUGAGAGUUUGUAACACCCGAAGCCGGUGGCGUAACCCU
RNAcentral lists this ribosomal RNA (1418 nucleotides) under Lacticaseibacillus rhamnosus. Its description in RNAcentral is "bacterial SSU rRNA". It matches the Rfam family "Bacterial small subunit ribosomal RNA". Lineage: Bacteria; Bacillati; Bacillota; Bacilli; Lactobacillales; Lactobacillaceae. The record is from RNAcentral.